AUAUCACAUAUUACCUUACCUUUUCUCAUUCCAACAACAUGUUUUUCCUUUUAAUACCCACACCUACCCUUUUAAUACCCACACCUACCGUGACUUCCUUUUUCUUUUAUUUCUCUUCUCCUUUUAUUUUAUAAAACCUUAUAUAUUCCUUCCACGUAAUUUCUAUGCAAAAUUCCAUCCCAUGGAUAAACAACCUGUGCACACCCAUCCUCCCAUCUUUUUUCAUCCUCAUUGUUCACACACCCAACCACUCAAGCUUUCUUAAUUUCUCUUCACAGUAACCACAAUCUAUCACUUCCUCCUUAUGAAAGGUCACGUAAUAUUUUCCCAAAAACUUUCAGAUAAUCCCACGGAAACUAUCAUACCCAAUCUCUUGAAUUAACCUGACGCAACACUAUGGUUAGGCCAUACAAACUUCUUCUUCCCCUAAAAUCAACAACUUAACAUAUCUUUCACUACUCAGUUGCAUUUUUAAUUACCCUCUUUCACUGGUGCACACAAACUUAUAACCUCUUCCUAAUACACUCCGUAAACAUAGACCUUUCACUACCUCCCUUUUAUUUUUCUACUACAACACAACAACCCCUUUUUCUUCCUCUAGCAACUUCACCCUACAAUUGUACCACCCAAUCUCUCCACUUAAAUUUUUUUUAACCUCUAUGUAGGAGAAAGGAAACCCAUUUUUCUUUCUAUAUUCUCUAACCUAAGACUCUCCCUACUCUCUCUCUUUUUUAAGGAAAAUGAUAUUUUGACACAAAUUUUUG
Molecule: long non-coding RNA, 764 nt
Filed under: Vigna radiata
Lineage: Eukaryota; Viridiplantae; Streptophyta; Magnoliopsida; Fabales; Fabaceae
Description: long non-coding RNA (VRAD_LNC011482)
Source: RNAcentral